CAGCAGCCGCGGUAAUACGUAGGGUGCGAGCGUUAAUCGGAAUUACUGGGCGUAAAGCGUGCGCAGGCGGUGCUGCAAGACCGAUGUGAAAGCCCCGGGCUUAACCUGGGAACUGCAUUGGUGACUGCAGCGCUGGAGUAUGGCAGAGGGGGGUGGAAUUCCACGUGUAGCAGUGAAAUGCGUAGAGAUGUGGAUGAACACCGAUGGCGAAGGCAGCCCCCUGGGCCAAUACUGACGCUCAUGCACGAAAGCGUGGGGAGCAAACAGGAUUAGAUACCCCAGUAGUCCCUGUCUCUUAUAC
RNAcentral lists this ribosomal RNA (301 nucleotides) under uncultured bacterium. RNAcentral's name for it is "partial 16S ribosomal RNA". It matches the Rfam family "Bacterial small subunit ribosomal RNA", at positions 509 to 807 of the family's 1533-position model. The record is from RNAcentral.